Ctenopharyngodon idella (grass carp) is the source of this 1439-nucleotide long non-coding RNA. RefSeq lists it as uncharacterized. The transcript has 5 exons. NCBI's taxonomy places the organism in Eukaryota, Metazoa, Chordata, Actinopteri, Cypriniformes, Xenocyprididae. The record is from RefSeq and is a predicted model, not a curated record.
CCCUGGGUCAUUCUAAACCCCGCACUGUAACAAAUUGCUGUAGUUUUUACAGCAAAAUUCUACAGAAACUUGCUGUUUUACCAUUUUACAAGUUAUUACUGUAUUUUGCAAUGCAUUAUGGGUCAAAAAGAGUAUUAUAGUUGUUAACAGUAUUUUUCCCUGUCAACUGUAAAUUAAUUUACAGGUAAGAGGUGUUUUCACUGUAGCUCAAUUUUUGGUAAGUUCACUUAAAUUUACAUCCAUAAACAUUCAAAUCAAAUGUAUUACAUUUAAUGCAUUUUAGUGAUUCAUAUUUUAAACAGAAUUCAUAACGUCAGAUGUAAUGAAUUGUAUCGACUUAGUUAACAACUGCGUGUUAUCAGCACAUUUAGUGGGAUAUAAAAGUGUUUGAUUCCAAUAUUUAUUUAUUUUUUUGCCGAAACGUUAUGUUUAUUUAGUAAAGGAAUGUGUCGUUAACUUUAAAUGUAUUGUUUCAGGCGAGGUGGAGAAUUGCGGGGCGCGUCAUAACAGUGGAGAGACGAAGCUGAACUACGGUGUCAGCAGCUGAUGUGGAAAAAACAUCUACACUUCCAGACUCUCCUAGACUUAUUGUCUUAGGUGAAAUUCUCACUGCAACUCAGUGGAUGCUGAGUAUUGAGGGUCAAGUGGUUGUGAAUCCACACCCCAACUUUGUGGCUGGAUUUGCUGCUUUGUUUACUGCAUACUACAACGUCAAUCUGGCGUACCAGCACGAGGCAUCCUGCACACUUGAAUUUGUUCAAAGAUGUUUUGUGGGAAUCAACCCACCCACUGGUACCAAGACAGCCACAACAAAAGUUGGAGUCAAAAGAAGUGGAAAGGCCUCAGAGAAGAGGAACCACAUAGUUAACCCUCAUGUGUGUACUCUUCUCAAAAGACUAAUGGACUCUUAAUGCUGUUAAUUUUAAUAAAUAUUUUUCUUACAACAGCUUGGUUUGAUUAUUUUUUUAAAUGUUUAUUUUAAAGCAUUUACAUCAAUAUAAUGGUAAAUAAUAGAGUACAGUUUACUGUUAAAAUAAGUAUUUAUAGUAUUUUCAAAGUAUAACGAUUACGGCAACAUCUUGCCUUUUGGAGCAUUUACAGGAUUUUAUUGGCAACUUUAGUUGCCAGGUAAAUAGUGUAAUUUAGUGCAAUUACAAAAAAAUACUGUAAUGUAUACUACAAUUCAAUUUUAUAAUCCUGUAAAAAAAAAAAAAAAUACUGUAUUCCACAAACAACAAUAUAUUGUAAAUUGCUUAACAGUAUUAUACUGUAAUCCAUUUUACAGCAAUUAACAACUAUUUUACAGGAUUUUAUUGGCAACUUUUUUGCCAGUAAAUUCUACAGUACAUUUUUUAAACGGAAUCCUAGGUUAUCCUGAUUCACGUUUCACGCCGCUCAUAAUUUCCCCGGAUUUAACAAUUAAUCCUGUUUAUUCAUAA